Molecule: ribosomal RNA, 301 nt
Filed under: uncultured bacterium
Lineage: Bacteria
Description: partial 16S ribosomal RNA
Rfam family: Bacterial small subunit ribosomal RNA
Source: RNAcentral
CAGUCGCCACGGGAAUACAGAGGGUGCGAGCGUUAAUCGGAUUUACUGGGCGUAAAGCGUGCGUAGGCGGCUUCUUAAGUAGGAUGUGAAAUCCCUGAGCUUAACUUAGGAAUUGCAUUCGAUACUGGGAAGCUAGAGUAUGGGAGAGGAUGGUAGAAUUCCAGGUGUAGCGGUGAAAUGCGUAGAGAUCUGGAGGAAUACCGAUGGCGAAGGCAGCCAUCUGGCCUAAUACUGACGCUGAGGUACGAAAGCAUGGGGAGCAAACAGGAUUAGAUACCCCCGUAGUCCCUGUCUCUUAUAC